AAAGUUGCUGAUCGGGCUGGAUUUCUUAAUAGAGAAGGAACCCUCCCCUGAUACACCCUCCCCGUCCCACAUGAUCCCCUUUCUCAUUUCUCCCAUGCCACCUCCUCUUCUCCAUCUCUCCUUCUUCUUCUCAUCUCUUGCCUCGUCUCCUAACCCCUCUUCCUCUCAAAUCACGAAUCCGAAUUCGUUGAGGUGGCUGGCAGGGGCUCUAAGGUCGAUGAUGCCAACGAGAAGGCAGAGCGAUAGGACGAGUACUAUCGUGCUGGGUGGAGCGGUGGUCGGAACGGGUCACCAGCGUGAGAAUAUGGGGCAAGGAUGAGGCCCCUUCAUUUGGCCAAGGUAAUAUCAACACGUCGACCCCAGCCACCUGAAUGACGAAGCUGUCAUCGACCAGAUCGCAAGUUGUACUCAAUGGAUGGCAAUUGAAGACCUCCCUUUUGGAUCAAGGGCAGGCACACGUGACUAAUCCAUGGUUGGCUCACACACAUCUUUCUUUGUUCAUGGAUACUCUAAGUUUCAGAUUUCAGACAUUGAAUUAAAUGAAUAUGCAUGUGUUGUUGCAUGAAAUGAUGCAGAUCAAUGUUUAUAGUCAAUAUAGUUCUGUCGAUAAUUCCCAUUGACUGUAUGCAGGCUCCUCUUUAGAAAAGUAGGUUGUUCAACUAUUGUUCAAUACUCUUUAUAUAAUGGUGGUAAGAUGACAAGGAUAUGCUAAUGGAUUUUUUCUUCUUUGCCAUAGUUGAAACUAUGCAGUCUCAGCUAUGGCCUUGGGAGUCCAACAAAAAAAGUGUGGCCUAAAUUAUAGAUAAUUUCAUUCAUCUCGCCUCUUUUUUAGGUGGCAGAUUCUGAUAGAUUUUUGUGAGCUUCGCCAUGGUUUUCUCUUGCAUGUUGGAAUUAUGCCGAACUAUAACAUUUUUGUGGUACAGAGCUUUUCUUUGAUUGUACUUGUUCAUUGUAGAACAGUGGCAUCCAAUUAUCUUGUUAUAUUCACACUCCCCUUUGGGGGCAGGUAUGGUCAAUGCUUUAGGUUUGCACCUCCUCCUGCAUCCCUGAAAUCCUUUAUGUAUUUUGCCUCCUGUCAUGGAAUGGGAGAUAAAAUCAUCUAUUGGAGUUAGUGGUCAAAUCAGCCUAGAAAUUCAUGGUUAGCUACAUCUAACUAGAUGAUUGCAUUUGGAGGUAGGAUGAAGUUAGGUUGGUCUCUUCCCUUGAAACUAAUUAGCUAUGUCAUGUCCAUGACUAGUAGAUUAUAUAAAGAGAUAGGUUGAGGUUUCACUGGUCAAACUAUCACUUUGUGUUAGGCUGAUACAAACAAUAUUUGUUUAGUUUAUACAAAGGUUACCCGACAAUUUCAUCUUGCUUUUUGGAAAUAUUAGAUGAUAUAAGUAGUGGAACAACUAUCUUUAUGCAAGCAAGAGUGCACACCUCCAGCUUAGACUUAGAGGUGUGUGUCAUGUGUUUCGGUCUAACAGAAACACACACAAAAAAAAUCUAUUUCGCAUUUUUGGACAAUUGCGUGCACCUUGCACACUUACAGCAUGACCUGGGAUGGAAAUGCGGAAUGCAAAUGCAUUAUAGGAACAUGUAUAAAUUAUGAGUUGCUUUUUGUUCGAUCAACAUUGUUCCUCUGUAUGCUACAUGGUUAUUGAUUUGGUGAUUAUUCAUAAUUUAAUUUUGUCAGUACUUACAUGAUUAGUGCUUUUGUACAUCCUUGUUGUGAACAACCACACUAGCAGAGAAAAGCUUGAAGGCAAUUCAAAGUUUACUGAAAAGGAUUAAGAUGGUCAGAUUUACAAGAUGCUUCAUAUGUUGGAUCAAAUUCUGAAUAUGAUCUUUGUGUGUUCCUUUUUGAAUGACUAUGUUCUAAAAAAGAACAAAUAGUUGAGUAGGGCGUUUUGGAGCUCGGGCUCCAUGGAACCCUGUUUUUCAAAACCCCAAAAUACAUCAAAAUUCAUAUUUUUAUAUUUCAAAAAAAUCUGAAACAUAAUGGAUAUACAUGAAGGCAUAACACACAUGUGUGCAAAUUUUUAGAAUAAAAUACGUUGAAACAAGGUCUGUGCAAAAAGACAAAAUUGUGGUUUUAACAAAUGAUACUAUUCAUCACAAAAGUCCAUGAAUUUGUUCUUUUUGCACAUAUCGCAUCUUAUGGUAUUUCAUCCUGAAUUUUUGCAUACAUAUACAUUUCAUCCUUGUGUACUUGCAUAUUUUUCUAGAAUUUUUUGGAACCAAAAAAUUGAAUUUUGAACUUUUCAAAAAUAAAGGGUGCCAUGGAGCCCGAGCUCCAAAAGGCAUUUUCGCUAACAGUUCCUUUAUAAUGGCACCGGCAUGAUGGUUGAGAGCUGUUAUUUUUUGUUUGAGUCCUCCCCAAUACUAUUCUUUCAUUCUCUCUCAUGUUUCUGAACUCUGAAGUUAACAUUCUGUGUUCUGAUUCUAUACUUUCAACUCCUAAUUUCAGGUGAGGUAUCAUUGUGUGUUCGUAUCUCGUUUGAGAGAUAGUUAUGAGUUGACAAUUGCAAGUAUGGAGCCACUUUCAUGUGAUUUAACUUCCACUUCUCUGAGCUUCUCAUUUUUGUUUAAUUUAGACAGAGUAUGACCAUAACAUGCGAUUUAUAGCUAGAUAGUUCUUCCGAUCUGAUCAAUAUUUCCUAUGUAAACCACCAUAUGUCAAUUCUUCAUUGCAUUCGUUGAUGUUUUUCGUAUUUCUACUUGUUUCCUGAUUUCCCUUUUCUCAAUAAUAUGAACCUCCAUGACAGGUGUGGAUAUCGAUCAUGAAUCUCUCCUUUCACAUCAGAUUAUGUUUCAUCUAAAAAGCUUAGAUAUUCUUAUUCCAUCUAUUCCGGCUUAAUGGCUACAUGCAUCGUCCAGAUGUAGAGGCCGGGUGUAUAUCCUCCUUUUCUAAAAACUAAAAGAAAUAUUCUAGCUUAAUACAUAUACCUAGUAAUUAAGCAAAGAAUUAAUGCUUAUUUUGUUGAAUAACUACAACUUUUAUAAUGAAAGGAAAAGCUUUUGGAGGUUCUUGCUUCUCUCUAGAGCUAUAUUUGUAAACUUUGUUUCAAUUCUUGUUAUAUCCUAAAUCUUGCAUGUGGUCCAGAACAAAUGAUGGAUUAUUAUGUACCUUUUAUAACAUGUGACAAAGUAACAUAUACUAGAGUUCAAUGUUAAUACAUCAAGGAGAGCCUAAUAGAGUCCUUCUCUUUUGCUUGAUUUGUUUAUUUUAUUUGUAUUGACACAUAGUUUAUUUUGGUUGCUUAACUCGGUAUUUUGUUCAAACUUCAUGUUACUUGAGCUAACUGUAGAGCAUUAUAUUGCUUAAAGUAAAACAAGAUAAAACAAAUUUUAUUGAUGUGUUAGUUUUGUACCAAUUCAUUUAUAUGAAGUCAAGUGCUUAUUGUUAGAGAUUUAUUCUGAGUUACACGAAGUUGCUUAAUUUGGGGGCAGCAUGUGGCUGAGUGUCUCUGCAUGAUCUUGAACUAGAGCGUGCCAUCAUAGGCAUCAUCAAUAAAAAAAUUGCUCGUGAGGGUUCUCGCUCCAAAUGUUUGAGGAAAAAUGGAUCAACUUAUGAAACAUUUAUGGAUAUCCAAAUUUUACAUUUUUGUAAGUCCAGCUGAUUACCUUUGUUUGUUUUAUAGAUUAAAUAAUGUAUUAGCAGCAACACCUCUUUAUUGCCAGGUUAUAUGCAUUGGUUUAUGCUUGUGUUGUCAUGUUUUUUUCCUAUCACACUGAUUGGGGAACCGGGAUCACAUAUUCCUCUCUACUAGCUAACUAACUAGAAAUUUACUAUGUGAAUGUAUGUCGCAUCACUUCUUCAUAUCAUGCUCUUUGAACUAGUGAGACAUUUCCUUCACACGGUACAGGAAAGAUACCACGCCUCCUUUCUUAUUUGAAAUAAGAGUAAUUAUUUUAUUUUANNNNNNNNNNNNNNNNNNNNNNNNNNNNNNNNNNNNNNNNNNNNNNNNNNNNNNNNNNNNNNNNNNNNNNNNNNNNNNNNNNNNNNNNNNNNNNNNNNNNNNNNNNNNNNNNNNNNNNNNNNNNNNNNNNNNNNNNNNNNNNNNNNGUAAUUUGAAUAAAAGGCAAAAUGUAUCGUUGAUAUGGCUAUUCAUUAUUCCAUUUGUGAAUUCUUUUCCAGAUCAAAGAGAAGGUUUAUGCACCUCUAUUAUGCUUACAGAAAAAGGCAUCACAAGGCUAUGGAUUUUCUAGGGUGGGCACAUUCGCUCUUUGGUCUUCUGGUGCAACAUUGUUUGUGUUGUCGAAUUUUGGCUUUUGGCUCCUCGUGUAGCGCUAUCGUAAAUAAAUAGACCAGUUAGAUGCAUUGUGUCCAUUUGUGCUUUGGGUAAAUAAAUGAAGAAAUUUAGAAAAAUAUAUAUUAUGUUCUUUUUGAUUCAUCUUGUAAGAUUGUUACCUUUCUAUUAAUAUAGACGUACUGCCUUGCUUUGCUUGUUUUGUUUUAUGAGUGAAUGAUUUUCCGCUGUUGUUUUAUCAUGUAUAUUCUUUAACAAUCGGUGUUUCUUUGGAUUCUAUAGACACGUAUACAAAUCCAUCAACUAGAUUAGUGCGCGUAGAUACGCAGAGGAGGUGC
Molecule: long non-coding RNA, 4570 nt
Filed under: Hordeum vulgare
Lineage: Eukaryota; Viridiplantae; Streptophyta; Magnoliopsida; Poales; Poaceae
Description: long non-coding RNA (HVUL_LNC004359)
Source: RNAcentral